This 253-nucleotide ribosomal RNA is filed under the name uncultured bacterium. Its description in RNAcentral is "partial 16S ribosomal RNA". It matches the Rfam family "Bacterial small subunit ribosomal RNA", at positions 524 to 776 of the family's 1533-position model. The record is from RNAcentral.
UACGAAGGGUGCAAACGUUGCUCGGAAUUACUGGGCGUAAAGGGCGCGUAGGCGGCACAGCAAGUCGGGAGUGAAAGCCCGGGGCUCAACCCCGGAAUGGCUUUCGAAACUGCUGAGCUAGAGUACAGAAGGGGCAACCGGAAUUCCCAGUGUAGCGGUGAAAUGCGUAGAUAUUGGGAAGAACACCUGAGGCGAAGGCGGGUUGCUGGGCUGAUACUGACGCUGAGGCGCGAAAGCCAGGGGAGCAAACGGG